AACGAACGCUGGCGGCAUGCCUAACACAUGCAAGUCGAACGAGACCUUCGGGUCUAGUGGCGCACGGGUGCGUAACGCGUGGGAACCUGCCCUUAGGUUCGGAAUAACUCCCCGAAAGGGGUGCUAAUACCGGAUAAUGUCUUCGGACCAAAGAUUUAUCGCCUUUGGAUGGGCCCGCGUUGGAUUAGCUAGUUGGUAGGGUAAAAGCCUACCAAGGCGACGAUCCAUAGCUGGUCUGAGAGGAUGAUCAGCCACACUGGGACUGAGACACGGCCCAGACUCCUACGGGAGGCAGCAGUGGGGAAUAUUAGACGAUGAGCGAAGGCCUGAUCCAGCAAUGCCGCGUGAGUGAUGAAGGCCUUAGGGUUGUAAAGCUCUUUUACCCGGGAUGAUAAUGACAGUACCGGGAGAAUAAGCUCCGGCUAACUCCGUG
RNAcentral lists this ribosomal RNA (433 nucleotides) under uncultured bacterium. RNAcentral describes it as "partial 16S ribosomal RNA". It matches the Rfam family "Bacterial small subunit ribosomal RNA", at positions 29 to 507 of the family's 1533-position model. The record is from RNAcentral.